Podarcis lilfordi (Lilford's wall lizard) is the source of this 107-nucleotide non-coding RNA. Lineage: Eukaryota; Metazoa; Chordata; Lepidosauria; Squamata; Lacertidae. The record is from the annotation of a GenBank genome assembly.
UCUCUCUCUCUCUCUCUCUCUCUCUCUCUCUCUGUGUGUGUGUGUGUGCGCGCACACACACACACACACACACAGAGCAUGGCAGGAAGAGUGAGGCUGCAGUUUCC